AUCCAGUUGACGAGUCUUAAACAGGACGAAGCACACAGUCCUGGAU
RNAcentral lists this non-coding RNA (46 nucleotides) under Schistosoma margrebowiei. Lineage: Eukaryota; Metazoa; Platyhelminthes; Trematoda; Strigeidida; Schistosomatidae. The record is from RNAcentral.